RNAcentral lists this ribosomal RNA (497 nucleotides) under uncultured bacterium. RNAcentral describes it as "partial 16S ribosomal RNA". It matches the Rfam family "Bacterial small subunit ribosomal RNA", at positions 28 to 507 of the family's 1533-position model. The record is from RNAcentral.
GAUGAACGCUGGCGGCGUGCCUAAUACAUGCAAGUCGAGCGAACAGACGAGGUGCUUGCUCCUCUGACGUUAGCGGCGGACGGGUGAGUAACACGUGGAUAACCUACCUAUAAGACUGGGAUAACUACGGGAAACCGGAGCUAAUACCGGAUAAUAUAUUGAACCGCAUGGUUCAAUAGUGUAAGACGGUUUUGGUGUCACUUAUAGAUGGAUCCGCGCCGCAUUAGCUAGUUGGUAAGGUAACGGCUUACCAAGGCGACGAUGCGUAGCCGACCUGAGAGGGUGAUCGGCCACACUGGAACUGAGACACGGUCCAGACUCCUACGAGAGGCAGCAGUAGGGAAUCUUCCGCAAUGGGCGAAAGCCUGACGGAGCAACGCCGCGUGAGUGAUGAAGGUCUUCGGAUCGUAAAACUCUGUUAUUAGGGAAGAACAAAUGUGUAAGUAACUAUGCACGUCUUGACGGUACCUGAUCAGAAAGCCACGGCUAACUACGUG